This 541-nucleotide ribosomal RNA is filed under the name uncultured Bacillota bacterium. Its description in RNAcentral is "bacterial SSU rRNA". It matches the Rfam family "Bacterial small subunit ribosomal RNA", at positions 97 to 670 of the family's 1533-position model. The record is from RNAcentral. Lineage: Bacteria; Bacillati; Bacillota.
GGCGCACGGGUGAGUAACACGUGGGUUACCUGCCCUUCGGUGGGGAAUAACCUUGGGAAACCGAGGCUAAUACCGCAUAUUUCCGCGAGGAGAAAGUCUUCGGACGCCGAAGGAGGGGCCCGCGGCCGAUUAGCUUGUUGGCGGGGUAAAAGCCCACCAAGGCUGCAAUCGGUAGCCGGCCUGAGAGGGCACACGGCCACACUGGCACUGAGACACGGGCCAGACUCCUACGGGAGGCAGCAGUGGGGAAUCUUGCACAAUGGGGGAAACCCUGAUGCAGCGACGCCGCGUGAGCGAUGAAGCCCUUCGGGGUGUAAAGCUCUCUCAGCGGGAACGAUUAUGACGGUACCCGCAGAAGAAGCUGCGGCUAACUACGUGCUAGCAGCCGCGGUAAUACGUAGGCAGCAAGCGUUGUUCGGAGUUACUGGGCGUAAAGAGUGUGUAGGCGGUUCUGUAAGUUCGGUGUGAAAUCUCCCGGCUCAACUGGGAGGGUGCGCCGGAAACUGCGGAGCUCGAGCGUGGGAGAGGAAAGCGGAAUUCC